Molecule: long non-coding RNA, 1069 nt
Organism: Sinocyclocheilus rhinocerous
Lineage: Eukaryota; Metazoa; Chordata; Actinopteri; Cypriniformes; Cyprinidae
Exons: 3
Source: RefSeq, a predicted model, not a curated record
ACAACAACAACAACACGUGCAGAUCCUGCAGAUGAUUUAGUCUUAAAAGCUGUUAAUGUCACUUUGACAGCACAUCUUUCAGCUCAACUGCAAACAAAAAUCGACUCACUGUCUGAUAAAACGAGUGUCACGCGACUCACCUAAUAUGGUUGUAAACUCGUCCGGCUGAAGCAGAGCUCUGGACGUGUGGACAGACAUUGACUGUAAUGAUGGACAUCUGCUCAGGGACAGUCUGUGCAAAACAUGUAUAACCUCUGCGGAUCACGGUGCUGGAAGCUCCAGGGGGAGACUGUACUGAUAUCCCCCUUCUUCAGGCGCGCCUUCACACACACUCCACCAUUCACUUAUAUCGCAGAGACCUGGCUGGGAUCAAACCAGCAACCUCUGAACCCGUGAGGCAGCGCUCUUACCUGUGAGCCACAGGUCUCUUGUUGGAGUACAUGAAGGAACUUUUAUUUGACUGUGUACCUGUGAUUUCCCAAUACAGAAGUUACAGUAAAGUGUGUACGUGAUUUUUGGAGGAGAGAUUUGAACCCAUGUCUCCAUCACAAACUCAUACUCAGAAAAUGUGUGUUUAUCCACUAAGCCAUCAUGGAUUUCACAUUGUGUUUUGGCGUUUGAGUGACUUUGUUGGAUGAGAUCGAUUUAAAGUAAGCAAUAGUGAGAUUUGAACUCAGAUCUCCCAGAUUAAAACACAAAGUUUAUCUCUUGAGCCACCGAGUCUGUGGAGAUACAAAACAUUUCGAACAGGCUUUUAUUGAGAGAUUUGUUCUAAAUUAUGAAUAACAAUUAUGGGAUUUGAACCAGAACUUUCACGUUUGAGAUUGAAGCCUUCAACCACUGAGCCACAGAAGCUGUGAAGUUGCGCUGUUGUUGUUUUUACAGUCAUUUAGAUUUUAAGUUUAUUUCAAUGUAGGUUUAGGCUGAGUAAUAGAUGUUUAAUGCAUAUGUGGGAUUUGAACACAUCUCUUUUGCAGCUUCACAAGUCAAAGUCUCAUGUUUAGCCACUGCACCACUGUGCUUCAAAUAAAACAGAUGGUUUACUAUCGUUUUAUCUUCUUUGUAGUGU